This 510-nucleotide ribosomal RNA is filed under the name uncultured bacterium. RNAcentral describes it as "partial 16S ribosomal RNA". It matches the Rfam family "Bacterial small subunit ribosomal RNA", at positions 28 to 507 of the family's 1533-position model. The record is from RNAcentral.
GACGAACGCUGGCGGCGUGCUUAACACAUGCCAGUCGAACGAAGAGCGAUGGAAGCUUGCUUCUAUCAAUCUUAGUGGCGAACGGGUGAGUAACGCGUAAUCAACCUGCCCUUCAGAGGGGGACAACAGUUGGAAACGACUGCUAAUACCGCAUACGAUCUAACCUCGGCAUCGAGGAUAGAUGAAAGGUGGCCUCUACAUGUAAGCUAUCACUGAAGGAGGGGAUUGCGUCUGAUUAGCUUGUUGGAGGGGUAACGGCCCACCAAGGCGAUGAUCAGUAGCCGGUCUGAGAGGAUGAACGGCCACAUUGGGACUGAGACACGGCCCAGACUCCUACGGGAGGCAGCAGUGGGGAAUCUUCCGCAAUGGACGAAAGUCUGACGGAGCAACGCCGCGUGAGUGAUGACGGCCUUCGGGUUGUAAAGCUCUGUUAAUCGGGACGAAAGGCCUUCUUGCGAAUAGUGAGAAGGAUUGACGGUACCGGAAUAGAAAGCCACGGCUAACUACGUG